Molecule: ribosomal RNA, 576 nt
Filed under: Encrasicholina heteroloba (shorthead anchovy)
Lineage: Eukaryota; Metazoa; Chordata; Actinopteri; Clupeiformes; Engraulidae
Description: partial large subunit ribosomal RNA
Rfam family: Bacterial large subunit ribosomal RNA
Source: RNAcentral
CGCCUCUUGCUUAAUGAAAUAUAAGAGGUCCCACCUGCCCUGUGACUUUAAGUUUAACGGCCGCGGUAUCCUAACCGUGCGAAGGUAGCGCAAUCAAUUGCCUUUUAAAUGAAGGCCUGUAUGAAUGGUAAAACGAGGGUUUAACUGUCUCUUUUUUCCAGUCGGUUAAAUUGAUCUGUCCGUGCAGAAGCGGACAUUUUUUUACAAGACGAGAAGACCCUAUGGAGCUUUAGACACCAGCUAACUGUGAACUAGCGAAUGAAUAAUAAAUCUUCCCAUACACCCACAGACCCUGGUAAUGUGUCUUAGGUUGGGGCGACCACGGGAGAAAGAAAAGCUCCCGAGCAGAACAGGGCUUACCCUGGAACUAAGAACGACAGCUCUAAGUCACAAAAACUUUGACUGAAAUGAUCCGGCCUAACGGCCGAUUAACGGAACAAGUUACCCUAGGGAUAACAGCGCAAUCCCCUCCCAGAGUCCCUAUCGACGAGGGGGUUUACGACCUCGAUGUUGGAUCAGGACAUCCUAAUGGUGCAGCCGCUAUUAAGGGUUCGUUUGUUCAACGAUUAAAGUCCU